UAAAGGAACAGUACCACUGCUGGAUAAUUGGAAAGUCCCUGUGUGUCAACCUCUGUGCUUCGUGGCAAGGUAGACUAGCAAACAUGCCCAACCUUUACUCAUAUUCGAGAAAACACUCCCAAUAAGAUUGCUUGCUCCAAAAUCGAAGAGGCACCGUCCUCUGAAUCUCUAGAGCCAGACUCCCAACAUGACUACUUUCUUAAAAAUCGAAGAGAGGGUAAGGGAACAGUACCAUUGCUGGAUAAUUGGAAAGUCCCUGUGUGUCAACCUCUGUGCUUCGUGGCAAGGUAGACCAGCAAACAUGCCCAACCUUUACUCACAUUCGAGAAAACACUCCCAACAAGAUUGCUUGCUCCAAAAUCGAAGAGGCACCGCCCUCCGAAUCUCGAGAGCCAGACUCCCAACAUGAUUACUUUCUCAAAAAUCGAAGAGACACUGCUCCCCGAAUCUUCGAGAGCCAGACCCCCAGCAUGAUUGCUUUCUCAAAAAUCGAUGAGGCAUCGUUCUCCGAAUCAAUCGAAGAGGCGCUCGCUUUCUCAAAAGCUGGGCUGCUCAGAGACCACGAGGGCCGAUCUCAGAAAUCGAAGAGGCACCUACUUUUCUAGCCUUGUCAGCACCUGUCACACGCACACUCAGCUUUGCAGAAAUUAUGGGCAUUCUGUCAAAGACUUCUGGUGAAGUAGAAAGCACAUGAAUCUUACUGUUCAAUCACCCACUUCCCACACGCAACAAUAGCUCAUGGGUACCACAGAUAACUUUGCCAAAGUUCUCUGCCAAAGUUGAGCACGUGAAGCUUGCAGCUCCCACUACAUCGCUCUGACCAAGAAAGGUGAAAGAAUAGCAAAGAAACAGCACUAACAAAGUUUAGACACAUAAAUUUUGAAGGUCUAGCAACCAUAUUAUUACCCACAAGGGUAAAGGAACAGUACCACUGCUGGAUAAUUGGAAAGUCCCUGUGUGUCAACGUCUGUGCUUCGUGGCAAGGUAGACUAGCAAACAUGCCCAACCUUUACUCACAUUCGAGAAAACACUCCCAACAAGAUUGCUUGCUCCAAAAUCGAAGAGGCACCGUCCUCCGAAUCUCGAGAGCCAGACUCCCAACAUGACUACUUUCUCAAAAUCGAAGAGAGGGUAAAGGAACAGUACCAUUGCUGGAUAAUUGGAAAGUCCCUGUGUGUCAACUUUUGUGCUUCGUGGCAAGGUAGACUAGCAAACAUGCCCAACCUUUACUCACAUUCGAGACAACACUCCCAACAAGAUUGCUUGCUCCAAAAUCGAAGAGGCACCGCCCUCCGAAUCUCAAGAGCCAGACUCCCAACAUGAUUACUUCCUCAAAAAUUGAAGAGACACUGCUCUCCGAAUCUCGAGAGCCAGACCCCCAGCAUGAUUGCUUUCUCAAAAAUCGAAGAGGCAUCGUUCUCCGAAUCUCGAGAGCCAGAUACCACAGACCACUUUUUCAAAGUGCUCUGACAGAGUUAAAACAUGUGAAACUGGCAGCUCCCACUACCG
Molecule: long non-coding RNA, 1509 nt
Filed under: Malus domestica (apple)
Lineage: Eukaryota; Viridiplantae; Streptophyta; Magnoliopsida; Rosales; Rosaceae
Description: long non-coding RNA (MDOM_LNC008893)
Source: RNAcentral